UACGUAGGGGGCAAGCGUUGUCCGGAUUUAUUGGGCGUAAAGAGCGUGUAGGCGGCCUGAUAGGUCAGCUGUGAAAACUCGAGGCUCAACCUCGAGACGUCGGUUGAAACCAUCUGGCUAGAGUCCGGAAGAGGAGAGUGGAAUUCCCGGUGUAGCGGUGAAAUGCGCAGAUAUCGGGAAGAACACCCGUGGCGAAGGCGGCUCUCUGGGACGUUACUGACGCUGAGACGCGAAAGCGUGGGGAGCAAACAGG
This 253-nucleotide ribosomal RNA is filed under the name uncultured bacterium. Its description in RNAcentral is "partial 16S ribosomal RNA". It matches the Rfam family "Bacterial small subunit ribosomal RNA", at positions 524 to 776 of the family's 1533-position model. The record is from RNAcentral.